This 334-nucleotide ribosomal RNA is filed under the name uncultured Anaerolineaceae bacterium. Its description in RNAcentral is "bacterial SSU rRNA". It matches the Rfam family "Bacterial small subunit ribosomal RNA", at positions 1032 to 1382 of the family's 1533-position model. The record is from RNAcentral. Lineage: Bacteria; Bacillati; Chloroflexota; Anaerolineae; Anaerolineales; Anaerolineaceae.
GUACAGGUGUUGCAUGGCUGUCGUCAGCUCGUGUCGUGAGAUGUUCGGUUAAGUCCGCUAACGAGCGCAACCCUCGUCGUAUGUUAUAUGUGUCAUACGAGACUGCCGGUAAAAGCCGGAGGAAGGUGAGGAUGAUGUCAAGUCAGCAUGACCUUUAUAUCCAGGGCUACACAUACGCUACAAUGGUCUGUACAAUGGGUAGCCAAGCCGCGAGGCGGAGCCAAUCCUGAAAGCAGGCCUCAGUUCAGAUUGCAGUCUGCAACUCGACUGCAUGAAGCCGGAGUUGCUAGUAACCGCGGAUCAGCAUGUCGCGGUGAAUACGUUCCCGGGCCUU